AGCAUAUCAAUAAGCGGAGGAAAAGAAACUAACAAGGAUUCCCCUAGUAACUGCGAGUGAAGCGGGAAAAGCUCAAAUUUAAAAUCUGGCGGUCUUUGGCCGUCCGAGUUGUAGUCUGGAGAAGUGCUUUCCGCGCUGGACCGUGUACAAGUCUCUUGGAACAGAGCGUCAUAGAGGGUGAGAAUCCCGUCUUUGACACGGACUACCAGUGCUUUGUGAUGCGCUCUCAAAGAGUCGAGUUGUUUGGGAAUGCAGCUCAAAAUGGGUGGUAAAUUCCAUCUAAAGCUAAAUAUUGGCGAGAGACCGAUAGCGAACAAGUACCGUGAGGGAAAGAUGAAAAGCACUUUGGAAAGAGAGUUAAACAGUACGUGAAAUUGCUGAAAGGGAAACGCUUGAAGUCAGUCGCGUUGGCCAGGACUCAGCCUUGCUUUAGCUUGGUGCAUUUUCUGGUUGACGGGCCAGCAUCGAUUUCGGUCGUCGGAUAAAGGUUGGGGGAAUGUGGCAUCUUCGGAUGUGUUAUAGCCCUCAGUCACAUACGACGGCUGGGAUCGAGGACCGCAGCACGCCUUUAUGGCCGGGGUUCGCCCACGUUCGUGCUUAGGAUGCUGGCAUAAUGGCUUUAAACGACCCGUCUUGAAACACGGACCAAGGAGUCUAACAUGCCUGCGAGUGUUUGGGUGGAAAACCCGAGCGCGUAAUGAAAGUGAAAGUUGAGAUCCCUGUCGCGGGGAGCAUCGACGCCCGGACCUGACCUUCUGUGAUGGAUCUGCGGUAGAGCAUGUAUGUUGGGACCCGAAAGAUGGUGAACUAUGCCUGAAUAGGGUGAAGCCAGAGGAAACUCUGGUGGAGGCUCGUAGCGAUUCUGACGUGCAAAUCGAUCGUCAAAUUUGGGUAUAGGGGCGAAAGACUAAUCGAACCAUCUAGUAGCUGGUUCCUGCC
Molecule: ribosomal RNA, 939 nt
Filed under: Antrodia favescens
Lineage: Eukaryota; Fungi; Basidiomycota; Agaricomycetes; Polyporales; Fomitopsidaceae
Description: LSU rRNA
Rfam family: Eukaryotic large subunit ribosomal RNA
Source: RNAcentral